GGAGAGGUGGCAGAGUGGUAAUGCAGCAGCCUGCUAAGCUGUCAUCCUUCUUGGAUGCCCGGGUUCGAAUCCCGGUCUCUCCGCUA
RNAcentral lists this transfer RNA (86 nucleotides) under Christiangramia salexigens. Its description in RNAcentral is "Gramella salexigens tRNA-Ser". It matches the Rfam family "tRNA". From Rfam's summary of the family: Transfer RNA (tRNA) molecules are approximately 80 nucleotides in length. Their secondary structure includes four short double-helical elements and three loops (D, anti-codon, and T loops). Further hydrogen bonds mediate the characteristic L-shaped molecular structure. tRNAs have two regions of fundamental functional importance: the anti-codon, which is responsible for specific mRNA codon recognition, and the 3' end, to which the tRNAs corresponding amino acid is attached (by aminoacyl-tRNA synthetases). tRNAs cope with the degeneracy of the genetic code in two manners: having more than one tRNA (with a specific anti-codon) for a particular amino acid; and 'wobble' base-pairing, i.e. permitting non-standard base-pairing at the 3rd anti-codon position. Lineage: Bacteria; Pseudomonadati; Bacteroidota; Flavobacteriia; Flavobacteriales; Flavobacteriaceae. The record is from RNAcentral. RNAcentral also lists the same sequence under 1 other name.